GAUGAACGCUGGCGGCGUGCCUAACACAUGCAAGUCGAACGGCAGCACAGGAAGCUUGCUCCCUUACGGUUAGCGGCGGACGGGUGAGUAACACGUGUAUAAGCUUCCACUUAUUCGGGGAUAAUAACGGGAAACAACUUCUAAUACCAGAUAAUACGACGUACGGCAUGCUGCAGGGGUGCUUCGGACUUUGGGUGAGUGUAAGAGCCGGUGCCGGAUUAGCUAGUCUGGGGGGUAAGGGCCCACCAAGGCGACGAUCCGUAGCUGAACUGAGAGGAUGAUCGGCCACACUGGAACUGAGACACGGUCCAGACUCCUACGGGAGGCAGCAGUCGGGAAUAUUGGGCAAUGGGCGCAAGCCUGACCCAGCCAGACCGAGUGGGUGAAGAAGGCCUUCGGGUUGUAAAGCCGUCUUUUUGGGUAAGAAAAGCUGUAGGCUAAGACGCCGCUAUAGUGACGGUACCUAAAGAAAAAGCACCGGCUAACUACGUG
RNAcentral lists this ribosomal RNA (492 nucleotides) under uncultured bacterium. RNAcentral's name for it is "partial 16S ribosomal RNA". It matches the Rfam family "Bacterial small subunit ribosomal RNA", at positions 28 to 507 of the family's 1533-position model. The record is from RNAcentral.